AGCGAUUAGGUCGGGAACUCAAAGGAGACUGCCAGUGAUAAACUGGAGGAAGGUGGGGAUGACGUCAAGUCAUCAUGGCCCUUACGACCAGGGCUACACACGUGCUACAAUGGCGCAUACAAAGAGAAGCGACCUCGCGAGAGCAAGCGGACCUCAUAAAGUGCGUCGUAGUCCGGAUUGGAGUCUGCAACUCGACUCCAUGAAGUCGGAAUCGCUAGUAAUCGUGGAUCAGAAUGCCACGGUGAAUACGUUCCCGGGCCUUGUACACACCGCCCGUCACACCAUGGGAGUGGGUUGCAAAAGAAGUAGGUAGCUUAACCUUCGGGAGGGCGCUUACCACUUUGUGAUUCAUGACUGGGGUGAAGUCGUAACAAGGUAACCGUAGGGGAACCUGCGGUUGGAUCACCUCCUUACCUUAAAGAA
RNAcentral lists this ribosomal RNA (423 nucleotides) under Salmonella enterica subsp. enterica serovar Typhimurium. Its description in RNAcentral is "bacterial SSU rRNA". It matches the Rfam family "Bacterial small subunit ribosomal RNA", at positions 1120 to 1533 of the family's 1533-position model. Lineage: Bacteria; Pseudomonadati; Pseudomonadota; Gammaproteobacteria; Enterobacterales; Enterobacteriaceae. The record is from RNAcentral. RNAcentral also lists the same sequence under 1 other name.